Xiphophorus hellerii (green swordtail) is the source of this 3381-nucleotide long non-coding RNA. RefSeq lists it as uncharacterized. The record is from RefSeq and is a predicted model, not a curated record. NCBI's taxonomy places the organism in Eukaryota, Metazoa, Chordata, Actinopteri, Cyprinodontiformes, Poeciliidae. The transcript has 4 exons.
AUAUUUUGGUGCACAAUUCUGAUGCAUCGCAUCACUACAACUGCGAAGGUUUAUUUGCACACUCACUGAGGAAUUGGAAAGCUGUCACAUCUACUAUUUGUUCUGGUAAUUAGUCGCACCUAAAGCAACAAUGGCCUAGAUCUGCAUGAUGUCUUCAACGAGGAGAGUGUAAACAUUAAAAACAGACAUUUGUUUUCCUUAAAUGAUAAAAAAAAUUGUCACUUUUUUCUAGGUGCAACCAAUAAUCUUACUGUCACCUAAGGAGACACAAAAUGCAUAUAUUUAUAGAGAUUAAACUACAGUUAUGCAGCCAAUAAAGCAAUGUUUUAUUUAUAAUGCACAAUCUCCACUGUUUGUUUAACAGACUGAGCUACAGUUCGACCCUUAAGGCUGCAGAUGAUGAGCUCUAACAGUCUGUCAGCGACCUUUCUUAGCUUUCUUCCUGAUCAAAGUCUUCACUCAGCAUCACCCGCAGGUCCCAACCCUCACUCCUUCACACUCAAUGCGCUGAAGAACAAAGGCUGGAGGAGGACGUACAGAGGAGGAAGGAGAAAGUGAGGCUGAAAAAAAAGAAGAGAACAGGGAUAGAUGGGCCUGGGAGGUCACGUUUGAUGAGAACUCUGGAUCUCCUGCAGAUGCACAAUGAGAAAGGUCGGCUCAGCUUAUCCGAUACAGAAACGCGAAGGAGGCGGGUAGAGGACAAAAGACUGGGUGGAAACGAUCUGAAGACUCAUGAAGAGGAGGAGGAGAAAGGAGGGGAGGAGGAAGGAGGCUGAGACUGAAGGGGAACCUCAUCGGACAGGCGAAGCAGCUUCAAUUAAGAUUGGUCAACAGAUAAAAAGCUUCACAUGUUUGUGUGGGAGAGUGUGACGACCUCAAUCAUUGUGGAUGUUUAAAAGCCCAGACGAACGUCAGCAUGCAUGUGUUACAACUACUGUGCAUAACCUGAGAGUUUCCGUACCGAAGUAAGGAAAGCGCAUGAAGAGUUUGAGCUUUUUAUUUUGUUAGCCAUUUUUGCUUCCAGUCACUGUUUAGUUCCAGAUGUUGCUUCACCAUCUAAGAAGACUCCAGGGAGCAGUUUGGAGUUCCAGACAGACAGCUCUCAGAGGUUAUAUUCUCCAUUCUUCAAGGCUCACUGCUCACAGCGAGGGAUCUGUUCUCACCGCCCACCAGUCUGGGACCUUGAAGACCUGUAACGAUGGGCUGCUAGCAUGGCUUUAUCCUCUUAGACUGAGUGAAAGCGGAUAGGAUAUGAGACACAAAUCUGCCUUAAGAAUUUCAUUGGAGAUUUUCAAUGUUUUUCCUUGUGUGGAUAAAUAAAAGAUGUAAUUCCUUUCUGACCUGUGGUGGGCCACAACUAAACAGCUUGUGUGUUUUAAUGUUUCCAUUAAAGUCUCUGCUGUGUGGUUUUUACUAUGAAAUAAUUAUCAGUGUUAAAUAUAAAUAAAUUGCAUUUAAAACAAGCUAACCAUUCUGUGGUGGAAACGGCACAGCAAGCAAAUACAACAAUUUUAGCUGCUUUAAAUUCAGAUGUUGCCGCAGAGUAGCUACACAGUCCGGGUUAACAGAAUUAGCAUUGCAUCCUUAACAGAGUAGUGGUGUGCCAGCAGCCAAGUGCAACUGUUGCAGAGCAGAGCAGAGCAGCAGUAAAUGUAAAUGCUGUUACCCUGCAGAGUCCCAGAGCCCUGUGUUCCUAGCAGGCUUUAGGGGAGGACGGAGCUGUCUGAAACAAGGCUUAACCGUUAGUUCUGCUGGAGUCCCAUUGCUAUUCUCGCUCUUUACAAGUAUCUUUCUAGCAGGAGCACCUUUCGGUCAUUCUUUGCACCCUUUCCCACUGGUGGGAUUUCUAUCUGUGAAGACUGAGUAGCUUUUGUUAGAAAAAUACUUACAAAACCUCACGUAUGUUAGUAACUCUGUGGCACUUUUUGAUAUUUUUAUUACUAAAUUAUUAAACAGAACAGAUUCUUUUGUGCUUAGAGUAUUUUAGCAUAACUUCCUGUUAUGAUCCUGGUUUGGUUAUGUUUUUCCCUGUGCUACUGUCAGUGUUUCAUUCUUCUCAAAUUCAGAGCUCAAUGGUCUGUGAUGAAACAUGUUUACUGAUAAACACUAUGCAGUACUGUGAGCCACGAAUUUAAUCAGAAAUGAACCGAUUAAAGGGCCACACCAUAGUCCCCAGAAGAGUCAGGAGUUCUAAUAAAUAGCUUAUACACUUUAAUUUUGUGUUAAGUGUUACAAUGAUGUUGGAUAUCGAAAUCAGGACUGCUCAGAGACUUUCUGGUUGAAUUUCAACUUGUGGUCACAUUUUUUUUUUAGUUCUGACAGGAAACUCACAAGAUCCUCAUAGAACAUGACUUAACAUGUAAUGUUGUGUCACUAAAACGGCUUUAUCUGGCACUUAUUUAUGUUCUUACGACAGACAAAAUAAAACGUUUCUAUAAUUUUUUGGAAAUGUUUUCUUCUCUUUGGCCUGAAGAGACUUUGUAAGCACUCCUCAAGGUUGGAAUAUCACCUUUGUGACAUCUGAUAUUGAAAUGAUGGUCCAGGAUCUUUUAUAUUUAUUUAUUGUUGAGGGAAAGGGCUGUUUAUGUUUGUGGUUUUUAUGAAAACCAUAAUUUGCAACAUCAACCAUAUAUCUAUUGAACAUAACACAACAUCAACGCGAGCAAAUCAGUAGAAACAUGUGAGUAAACCCAAAAAACACUGUUUUCCAUCAUUUACAGUACCAGGACAGUAAAGUCCACCUCUGCAGUUCUGCCAUUUACCCAUAAGUCUUUGUGAAUUCAUCCACCUUUUCAGCUUCACUGCACUUAAACUGAGAUCUAUGUCUUGGUCUCAAACAGAAUGGCAUUUGCAAAUGUGUGUGCAAGGCUUUCUUAGCUGGAAAAACAAAUGACCCCUAUUUUUAUUUCAUUCCCGGAUUAAAUAGCUGACAAAGAAAUGGAAAAAGCAGUAAAAAAAAGGUAAAAGCAAAACAUUGAUGGAAGAUGUCUAAGGACUUCCUGGAAACAAUCAUGAAACCACAGUAUGUGUUUACACAGUAUUUAGCAUGUGUCUUACAGGGGUACUUAAUAAUAAGGUGACAAGAUGAAAGUUAAGCCUUAAAGUAUGUAUUUUUAAACGGGAAUUUUCUGAGAUUCGAUAUCUGACCCUUUUUGAGAUUGUGUAACAUUUUUUAAGCAUUAUGUGAGACUGUUUUCUGACUUUCGUCCCCCAUCCUGUGACCUUCUCGUUGCAGCUGUGUUUGAAGCCUGUGUACAAAUUAAAAUUGUGUGAUUGGUUAGAGUUGGAAGUGAUUGUGUUUCCUCACUGAUUGUGUUUCAGUUCAUUGUAUUUUUCCAGAAUCGUUGCUUGUCCAUUCGCACAGCUGUGUUACAGUUUUAA